GGACAAUUAAAAAUAUCAAAUGUCCACUUUCUCUGUUCCCAAAGCUGCUUAGUUGGAAAGGGCUGUCCUUCAACCAAAAAUGCACUAGUAACUGGGUUCUCCUGCUGGACCUUCCACUGUGGGAGCCUAACCCCUCCCCACAAUGCCUCUGUUCUACCACAGAUACCUGUUUCCCAAGUUUACACUGUGCUGGACUGAAUUUGUAGACAUGAAGGUCAAUGUGCCCUGUGAAACCAUCGAAUACAUUGAAGCCAACUAUGGUAAGACCUGGAAGAUUCCUAUAAAAAUAUGGGACUGGAAGAACUCUCCCCCCAAUGUGCAGUCCAAUGGAAUCUGGCCUAUUUCUGAGUGGGAUGAGGUCAUCCAGUUGUACUGAAAUAAUAAGUUGAAAUAGGAGAAGCUUUCUCCUGAAAAAAAAUGUUGGUAACUGUUUAAAAGACUACAUGUCUAUUUGUCAAACAUAAGCAGGAUCCAAAGGAAAAACAUGACAAGUUUUAAGACUGAAAGAAUCCUAACUCUUGAGCCAUCUGAUUUAAUUAUCUCAUUCAGCAUUCACUUAGUUUCUGUGUGUCAGAUAAAAUACUAGGUUACAGUGGAGAAGCAGAGACAAAUGAUCAAAUGUCUGCAUUGUUCCUGUCCCUUUGGUAAGCACCCCAGUUUUCCUUUGAUGGAAAUUUUCCACCUUUUGAAGAGCUGAAGUAGAAUAUAAUAUAUCCUAUAAUUUUUUUUUAAAUGUUAAGUAAUUCUUAGACUGGAAGAUGAGCUUAUCAGGCAAAGCUAAUGAAUGGUAUAUUCAUGAAAAAGAACAAUGUAUUCCUGUUCUUAGUGUUGAAGCUUGUGUAAUAGUGCUACCUUUAAGAAUGUGGCAUCUGAGUUAAUUUUCAAGUGAUCAGACUUUAGGUAGCAUCAAGAAAAGAUUGUUGCAGACUCAUUUGACAAGCCAUAUGAUGCAAAUUGAUUUAGAGCAUAGGGUAUUAUUCUAUAAGGGAAGGUGGGAGCUCAUUUUGAGUUUUGUCAAGUUAAUUUCAUAUAUUUACUAUUUUCAUAUUUGAAGUGAGAAGAAAGUUGAUGCUUUUGUGAUACUUAAAUUUUCAACUAUGGUGAGAAUAUUUUCAUUGACCCUUGAUGCACUUGUUGGUAUAUUAUUCAAGCAAGACCAUGCUACCAGACAUGAUUUUGAAGAGAUGUGAUUUUACAAAACUCACUUUCCUAUUUCACUCUCAAACACUGUCUUAGGUAAAAAUAUGAGCUAUUCAUUGACAUCUUCUAUUUUCUCAGUUUAUAACCCUUGCAUUUCCAAAUUAGUGUUGACCCUAAGAUAUUAAUAGAAAUACCUCUAAUUUUUCUAAAUAUACCCUUCAUUGUAUUUACUCAUCAGUCACGGCUCCUUAUCUUUAAUUUAUACACAAUAAACUAAUUUAAGUGGCAAAAAGCUGUUCUUUUUCUCUUCUAAAACUACUUCAGAUCUCCAAAAUGAAAGGUAAAUAAUGAACCUGACAACUAUUCCCCAUCCUAGACUAUACUGUUUAUAAAGCUGUGUCUCUCUCUCAUUGUUCAAUCUGUGGAGUAUCUAUGGGUCAAGAACUCAGACUUCUCUGCUUUCUCAAGUACCAUCUACUCUGGAACCCUUCAUUCCCCUGCCCAUCUCAAGGUAUACCCCUGAGUGGGCUGGGAUGACUUCCCUAUCUCUUUACUAGUAGUCACUUGAAUGAUGUAUUCUCAUUGAGUGAUAAAGGGAAAUGCAGGUACAGUGAGCCUCGGGAAAAGAAGCUAAGUCUUAUAUCUUAUCUGUGCUACUUAAAACUGUCUUGGGCUGACAUGGUAGACUUUUUUCUGUAACAAGAAUAACAAGUUCUUAAUUUGAAAAACAACAUGAAGAUUUUCUUUGAUGGAUGGUAACCAACAUUCUAUCUCUCCUAGGAUGCAUUCUCAAUGUAAAAUCAUUGGGUCUUUUCAUAAAUAAACAGGUUUUCAGGGAUCUUUAUAGAUUACCAGCAGUACCCAAAUGACAGGUCAUCGUAAUCAUCUUUCUCUUUGUUAGAAAAUCAGCCCAUAGACUAUAAACCAAGUUUUAAAUAUCCAACUCUAAUUUCAUUUUUCACACCCCAAAACAAUAUAAGAGAUAAUAAUUGUGUUCUUGGGUAAAAUCCACUCCACUUAGAGUGCUGUUUCCUUGUGCUUGGCAUCUGGAACUCCAUAUUCUUCACAUUCCUGCCUAAAUUGGGGUUUCCAAAUGUUUGCCAGGAAAUCCUUCCCAACAAGUUCAUGUUGUUUCUCUUGUAUCUGUCUCAGGAGUAUGAGAUCUGGAAAUGUGAAAAAAAAAAAAAAAGAUAUCUUAGUCCAGUUGGUAAAUAUUCCAUAUUCUUCCUUACAUAGAUCAAGGCUGCUGAGAUACCUUGUCUUCCUUCUGGUUUUACAGGCAGCUUUAGCUCUUGGGCUCCAUUCUAAUUUGGAGAAAUGAAAGCCUUUCCCCAGAAUAUGAAGAGACCUGAACUUACUUCUGAUACUGAUUCAGCCUUACUUCAGCCUGUGCUUCUUAACAUUUGAACUUGGCUGAGUGUUCGGAGACCCUGAGUUAAGUGUAUCCCCCAUCAAUAUCUCAUCAGAUCACUUUUCUUUCCUUACUUAAGUAUUCCAGCAGUCAUUUUCCUAAUCUGAUCAUUUUCAGUUCCAGUUUGCCUGGUUUACCUGAAGAGGACCUCUUAUAUUAACUUAUUGGUAUUUAAACACUGUGAAUGUUUCCAGAACGAUCCUGAGAAGCAAGAACAGUCAACUGAGUUGCAAGUUGACAAUCAGUCCACUGAGAAAGCCUUUCAGUCCUUCUCUAAGCUUGAGCAUUUAUCCUUAUCCUCUGUCUACUCCAACAACUGAUUCCUGGCCCCUGGAAUAAAAUAGUAGUUCCCCAAACUCAGUAUUCCUAAGAAUAGCUGAGCAGUGAGAAUGCAGGUUUCCCUGAUUCCCUAGCUACAAACCCUGAAAAGUGAACACUAGGUAAUAAAAUACAUGCCAGCAUCCCCCCCAAAUAACUUAACAUUUAAGUGAAAAUCAUCCUGCUCUUGAAUCUUUAAAGCCAAAAGGAGCUUUAGUGCAAUAUUCAUUGUAACUCUCUUAUUUUGUAACUAGUAAAUAAAUAUUUUGAGCAAGAAACAGCUGAAGCUAAAACACAAGAGUGCCAUGACAUCCAGUCCAGUGUUUCUUUCAUUACUUACAUCCCCGCACAACAUCUUUGACCCUCUCAAAAUGCUUGACAGAGGAAUUACCCAGUGUUCAAUGAUACAGUUUCAGGGUUUUUUUUUUUUUGCCAUUCCCCACUUAAUAUCUUUUUGCUCGGGUUGAAACCCCAAGGUGACAAAGAGAUUAGGGAAGGAAUGUUUCUUUGUUGUCCAGAAUUUUUAGGCUACCUUCUUUAUCUGAAAAAAAAACCUUGUCUCCCAAAAAUAAAAUUGUUCAUACCUGGAAAUACCAGCCUUUGGUACCUGAUUCUCCAGAGCUCAAGAUGUAUUCCAGGGGCUGGGGAUGUGGCUCAAGCGGUAGCGCGCUCACCUGUCAUGCGUGCGGCCCGGGUUCGAUCCUCAGCACCACAUACAAACAAAGAUGUUGUGUCUACCGAGAACUAAAAAAAUAAAUAAAUAUUUAAAAAAAAAAAAAAAAAAGAUGUAUUCCAUUGAUGCUUUACCCUUGUAUUUCCCCAGAGAACCAUCAGCACCAAUUUGCUAAGUGCCCCUCUUUGAAGAGUCCCUCCCCUUCAUGAAGCAGCCUUUCAUGUGGAUCUUUCUGUCUCAAGCCCUUUUCUUCCUGAAAGAUCUUUACCGUUCAAAGAGAACAAUAGUUAGAUGUAAACAGAGUACAUUGCAAUUUUCAGGACUUUUUUUUUUUUUCUGCUUGGCUGGAAAGGAAAUUGGAGUAUCUAGUUUCUUUCUGCUUUUGGUUAUUUAUAGUGAUAAUUUCUUAUGAAUGCAAGUAGUUAACAACAGACUGUGCUCAUUUCUUUUUAAAUUUGUGACUCCAAAUCAUUAUUUCUAUUCUUACACAACAACAAAGCCUCAAAUGCACAUAGGAUAGGCCGAAAACUGCAUAUCUCAGCAGGGGUUUAUAGAUUGAAUACCAAAGUUGAAUCUGAAAGACACACUUGGAAUAAGUUCUCAGCUCCAAUCUAAAAUGUCAUCUAAUAUCACAAGCCUAAGGCUACAAAUUUUUCUAAGUUUCCCCAAGUUUCACUUUCUAGAAAAUAAACAGCUACUUCAUCCUAAAUGUUGUAAAUCCCUAGGGGAAAUCUUAUCUCAAAAACAUAGUUAUGCAUUCCCUCCUUCUAACACAUUCAUAGUUGUAGCUGCUUAAAGGCAUGGAAAAACUCCAGUUACUGACUGAAAGAAUUUCUCUAAAGAAAUGACAUAGGAAAGACAGUAGAAUGAAUUGGACCUAACUUUCCUAUGUUCGUAUGUGAAUACACAACCAGUGAAACUCCACAUAGUGUACAACCACAAGAAUGGGAUCCUAAUUAGAAUAAAUUAUGUUCCAUGUAUGCAUGCUAUGUCAAAAUACACUGUACUGCCAUGUAUAUCUAAAAAGAACAAAUUUAAUAAAAAAAAAAAAAAAAAAAACGAAAGAAAACAAGGCUGGGGUUGUGGCUCAGUGGUAGAGACUUUGCCUAGCACAGGUGAGGCACUAGAUUUGAUCCUUAGCACCACAUAAAAACAAUAAAUAAAGUAAAGGUUAAAUUCUCUAAAAAGAGAAAGAGAACAUACCAAUUAUCACAUCAAAAAAAACAAAAAAGGCACAGUGACUUUCUUUACUUUCCUCCUCUUCCUCUAUUGUUAAAACCUGGGCUGGCUGGGUCACCUCUAACAUCUCUAUUAUGGAAGGUAACAUGUUAGUAUAAAAAAGACCACAAGUGGGCUGGGUCUGGGGCUCAGUGGAAGCACACUUGCCUGGCAUGUGUGAGGCACUGGGUUCGAUUCUCAGCAUGGAAUAAAUAUAAAUAAAAUAAAGGUCUGUGAAAAACUAAAAAAAAAAAAAAAAAAGACCACAAGCUUUUGAGCACUGUAGGAGUUUGAAUCCCAUUUUAUUAUGUGGGAUUUAUAGUAUGGAGAUGGGGGGCUCUCAGCCUCUGUUUACAUGAGUCAAUUGGGGGAAAUGAUGCCUAAUUCUAAGGGAUUUUAGAAAGAGUCCAUGAAAUGUGUAAACCUAGGAUUAAGUAAAUAUUCAAGAAAUGUGCCACUUCCUAGUUCCAUGUUGUUUUUUGUAAUUAUUCAAAUGGGAUUACAGAAAUUGUAGGUCAGGAUAAAAUGCCCUACUCAGAAGAUAAAUAACUGAUUUGCUUAAGAAAAAAAUUAUUUUAUCCACUCAUUGCAUGUCAAAUUGUAUAGUUUUAUGAAAUUCAAAGACAUUACCACAUUGACUCUUUUCUAAAUAGAACUUGUAUUAUCAUUUUGUUGAUCAAGCUGUUGUCUCUUAAUACUAUCUCUUAUGAAAUUAGUUUCUUGAUCCCAAGUAGUUCUUUGAUUUAGUGUCUGCUCUCACCUGAACUCAUUUUUCAAUAUUCUAGCUUUACCCAGAGGAUUUUGGAAAAUGAAAGAAUUUGGAAUACUUAGUUUUAAUUAAUUAUCUGUGUUUUGAUAUGGGUGUAACUCACUGACAGAACACUUGGCUAGAGCAUGUAUGCAGUUUUAGGUUCAAUUCCCAGAACCACCAGAGGUGGGGAGAUGAUCUAUGCCUUUUUAUUGUCAGAGAAUUGAAAAUACUCGUGUCCACUGUCCCAAAAUUUGUUUCUAUCUCAACUAGCAAGAAUCAGCAAGGUAUGAGAUACCAUUUUAAGCUACUCACCAUCAGACUGGAAUCAAUUAUAAUUUAUAAGUGAAGCAGAUCAAUUUAUUUGUGAUACCUUUGUAUAAAAAUCAAAAAGGCAAGUACAAAUUUUCUAAUGAGAAAUCUGUUUCUGAACUUUCAAUUCAUAGCCUAGAAUUCCCACCACUCCCAUAACUCCUGAACCCAAUGGAGUGUAGGUAAAAAAAAGCCUUUAGCCCACCAAGCUUCCAUAUACUCAUAAGCAUCUCCCACAAAAGUGUUGAAAAGGGGCUAUAAAGAGAACUAGAAGUAUAGUAUUUUGUUGUAUAAAAUAAGGUACUCACACGCCUUUUAAAAAAUUAAAGAUCUUACAUCUUUCUAAUGAUUUAUUCUGAGCAUGGAGAUACUUCAUGUGUUUGUUAUUUGAAAAUCAUGUAGCUCUUUGUGUGUUCCUUCCAAUUCAUAACUAUAAAACAUGUAUAGGAAUUUUUAAACAUGAGUAGAUUUCAGGGUAUGCUUACCUGUUUACUAUUUGGUUUUAUCUUCAGGUAUAGAUACUUUGUGGUACUACUGAAAAUACCUUUAAUAAUAUUAUUUUGACCAAAAUUUGUAAUAUAUAAUUUACUUUGAAGUGAUGAAUAAAAUUUUUUCUAAUCUCUUGAGAUA
RNAcentral lists this long non-coding RNA (6450 nucleotides) under Marmota monax (woodchuck). The record is from RNAcentral. Lineage: Eukaryota; Metazoa; Chordata; Mammalia; Rodentia; Sciuridae.